Molecule: transfer RNA, 72 nt
Filed under: Mus musculus (house mouse)
Lineage: Eukaryota; Metazoa; Chordata; Mammalia; Rodentia; Muridae
Description: tRNA-Ser
Source: RNAcentral
GGAGAAAUGGCUCAGUGGUUAAGAGCACUGACUGCUCUUCCAGAGGUCCUGUGUUCAAUCCCAGCACCCACA